This 2190-nucleotide long non-coding RNA is filed under the name Ananas comosus (pineapple). Its description in RNAcentral is "long non-coding RNA (ACOM_LNC000875)". The record is from RNAcentral. Lineage: Eukaryota; Viridiplantae; Streptophyta; Magnoliopsida; Poales; Bromeliaceae.
CACAGAUUUUAAAGCUUUCCGAUUUUAUAAGUCGAACCAAAUACGCCUAGAAACUGGAUUACGGUCUGACCGAUUCGACCAGACCCGACCCGACCCGACGUUCUACCUGAUUUCUGUUUUUAAAGACUAGUUGCUAGGGAUGUCAACAGAUCGAACUUGGAAUUUUUAAAAAUCCGAACUCGAACCCGACUAUCAAACCCGACGCUGGAAAUCCGAAUCCCAAACAAUUAUAUCACUUUACCGUAUUUCAAAAUAUAUCGUUUUAAAUCUUAAUUUUUAAAAAUACAAAUUCAAAUAUAACAUCGAACAUUUAUAAAUAUUAUAUAAUAUAAAAUCAAUUCGGGUUCGGAUCAGAUUCUGGUUCGGAUUCAAGUUUGGGUCGGGUAUAGUCAAAAUCCAUAUCCAAAUCCAAAUUCAUUGGAUUUUCAUAUUUUUUAACUAGUAUCUGAAAUUACAUUUAGACUUAGUUUGGUAUUGAGAUCCAUCUGACGCUAUUAAAUAAAAUGGAGUUGGGAUAAUAAUAUAGAGAGAUAUACUUCUGCGUUCUUCUGUGGGACCAUAAAAAAUAUAUCGUAACCAACUCAUCAUGUAAUGUAAUAUUACGUACAGAAACAAACAGGAUAUUUUUCUAUCGUACUUUUUUACCGCACUUUCCUGCAAUCGCAAACGAAGCCCUAGGCUUAAUUUGGUAUUCAGGCCUAUCUGACGCUAUUAGUAAAAUGAAGUUGGUGCAAAAAUACAUGGGGAUAUGCUUCUGUGUUCUCCGAUGGGACCAUAGAAAAUAUAUUAUAACCAACUCAUCGCGUAUUAUGUAAAGAAACAAACAGAGUUGGUGCAAAAAUACAUGGGGAUAUGCUUCUGCGUUCUUCGAUAGGACCAUAGAAAAUAUAUCGUAACCAACUCAUCGCGUAUUACGUAAAAAACAAACAAAGUAUUUGCCCACUGUUCUUUCUCCCCGCAAUAUCACUUUGUUAUUGAGGCCUAUCUAACACAAUCUCCCCGCAAUCCCAAACACUCACCGCAUGUAACGCAAUCUCCCCGCAAUCCCAAACGAAGCCUUAGGCUUAGUUUGGUAUUGAGGUAUAUCUAACACUAUUAGAUAAAAUAGAGUUGGAGUAAAAGUAAAUAGAGAUACGCAAUAUUACGUACAGAAACAAACAUGGUAUUGUCCAAUCGUACUUUCUCCCCGCACAUAACGCAAUCUUCUCGCAAUCCCAAACAAAGCCUUAGGCUUAGUUUGAUAUUGAGAUUUAUCUAACGCUAUUAGAUAAAAUGAGAAUGGGGUAAAAGAAUAUAGAAAUAUAUUUCUACGUUCUUCGGUGGGACAGCAAAAAAAUAUAUCAUAACCGACUUAUCGUGAUAUGACGAAUGCAAUAUUAUUACGUACGAAAACAAAUAUGAUAUUUUUUAAUCGUAUUUUUUUAUCGCACGUAAUGUAAUCUCUCCGCAGUUUCAAAUAAAGCAGUAUCGGAUAAAUUUUGCUCUUUUUAAAUUUGAAUUCGAAUUCGGAUAAAAAUUUGGGAAAACUUCAAAUACCCCCUUGUGGUUUCGCACUUUCUCACUUUAGUACCAUAUGGUUUAAAGUGUAUCAAGUUAGUACCCUGUGGUUUCGCACUUUCUCACUUUAGUACUCCGUGGUUUAAAGUGUAUCAAGUUAGUAUCCUGUAGUUUCGCACUUUCUCACUUUAGUACUCCGUGGUUUAAAGUGUAUCAAGUUAGUAUCCUGUAGUUUCGCACUUUCUCACUUUAGUACUCCGUGGUUUAAAGUGUAUCAAGUAGGUACCCUGUGGUUUCGCACUUUCUCACUUUAGUACCAUGUGGUUUAAUAUUUCAUUAAGAGAAAAAUAAAACCUCAUGGUACUAACUUGAUACAAAAAUAAAACCACAAAAUACUAACUUGAUACACUUUAAACCACAUGGUACUAAAGUGAAAAAGUGCGAAACCACAGAGUACUAACUUAAUACACUUUAAACCACAGGAUACUAAAGUAAAAAACUACAGGGUACUAACUUGAUACAAAAUUAAAACCACAGAAUACUAACUUAAUACACUUUAAACCACAGGGUACUAAAGUAAAAAAGUGUGAAACCACAUAGUACUAACUUAAUAUACUUUAAACUAUAGGAUACUAAAAUAAAAAAGUGCGAAAUCAUAUAGAGUUUCGAAGUUUUCCCUACAAAUUUUGGGUA